GACGAACGCUGGCGGCGUGCUUAACACAUGCAAGUCGAACGGAAAGGCCCUGCUUUUGUGGGGUGCUCGAGUGGCGAACGGGUGAGUAACACGUGAGUAACCUGCCCUUGACUUUGGGAUAACUUCAGGAAACUGGGGCUAAUACCGGAUAGGAGCUCCUGCUGCAUGGUGGGGGUUGGAAAGUUUCGGCGGUUGGGGAUGGACUCGCGGCUUAUCAGCUUGUUGGUGGGGUAGUGGCUUACCAAGGCUUUGACGGGUAGCCGGCCUGAGAGGGUGACCGGCCACAUUGGGACUGAGAUACGGUCCAGACUCCUACGGGAGGCAGCAGUGGGGAAUAUUGCACAAUGGGCGGAAGCCUGAUGCAGCAACGCCGCGUGCGGGAUGACGGCCUUCGGGUUGUAAACCGCUUUCGCCUGUGACGAAGCGUGAGUGACGGUAAUGGGUAAAGAAGCACCGGCUAACUACGU
This 467-nucleotide ribosomal RNA is filed under the name uncultured bacterium. Its description in RNAcentral is "partial 16S ribosomal RNA". It matches the Rfam family "Bacterial small subunit ribosomal RNA", at positions 28 to 506 of the family's 1533-position model. The record is from RNAcentral.